Chlorocebus sabaeus (green monkey) is the source of this 529-nucleotide long non-coding RNA. RefSeq lists it as uncharacterized. The record is from RefSeq and is a predicted model, not a curated record. Lineage: Eukaryota; Metazoa; Chordata; Mammalia; Primates; Cercopithecidae.
CUCCUGGCUUCAAGCAAUCUGCCCAACUUGGCUCCCCAAAAUGCUGGAAUUACAGGCAUAACCCACCACGCCUCGCUGAAAAAAAGAGCUUUCAAAAGUUCAUAUAACAACCACGAAUGGUUACAAACGAGGAAGCUGAGACCCAGAGAGGUGGAGCCACUUGUCCUGAGACACACAGCAUAUAAGGAGUGGAGGCUGGGAAAAAUGAAAGGUGUUCCAGAAGACACUUAACCAGUCAGCUGGAGCCAGACGGAACCUGAAUGAGCCUUCAACAUCUUAAUUGUAAUGAAUAUCUUCUUCAUGCUGUUAAAAUAGCAAUGAAUCCAUCUUAAUAAUAUGUGAAUUAUAAUACUGACGAUCAUAUGCGGUCCUUCCUGUUACCACUCCUUCCCUGGCUUACACACAGGGAAGCUGAGGCAGAGAGAGGGGUUGGGAAUUGCCCAAGGUCAGGCAAUGUUAGGCUUUGGGGGUUUGUUUUUGUUUUGAGACAGAAUCUCACUCUGUCACCCAGGAUGGAGUGCAGUGGCGU